UAAUACGUAGGGUGCAAGCGUUAAUCGGAAUUACUGGGCGUAAAGCGUGCGCAGGCGGUUGUGCAAGACCGAUGUGAAAUCCCCGGGCUCAACCUGGGAAUGGCAUUGGUGACUGCACGGCUAGAGUGUGUCAGAGGGGGGUAGAAUUCCACGUGUAGCAGUGAAAUGCGUAGAGAUGUGGAGGAAUACCGAUGGCGAAGGCAGCCCCCUGGGAUAACACUGACGCUCAUGCACGAAAGCGUGGGGAGCAAACAGGAUUAGAUACCCUGGUAGUCCACGCCCUAAACGAUGUCAACUAGUUGUCGGGUCUUAAUUGACUUGGUAACGCAGCUAACGCGUGAAGUUGACCGCCUGGGGAGUACGGUCGCAAGAUU
RNAcentral lists this ribosomal RNA (374 nucleotides) under uncultured bacterium. Its description in RNAcentral is "bacterial SSU rRNA". It matches the Rfam family "Bacterial small subunit ribosomal RNA", at positions 521 to 895 of the family's 1533-position model. The record is from RNAcentral.